RNAcentral lists this ribosomal RNA (493 nucleotides) under uncultured soil bacterium. Its description in RNAcentral is "bacterial SSU rRNA". It matches the Rfam family "Bacterial small subunit ribosomal RNA", at positions 8 to 524 of the family's 1533-position model. The record is from RNAcentral.
AGAGUUUGAUCCUGGCUCAGGAUGAACGCUGGCGGCGUGCUUAAUACAUGCAAGUCGAACGGAGUGUAGCAAUACACUUAGUGGCGAACGGGCGAGUAACGAGUUGGUGAUCUGCCCCGAAGUGUGGGAUAACAGUCCGAAAGGAUUGCUAAUACCUCAUGUGGUUGCCGGGUUUAGAAGCUGGCAACUAAAGCAGUAAUGCGCUUCGGGAGGAACCUGCUUCCCAUCAGCUAGUUGGUGAGGUAACGGCUCACCAAGGCUACGACGGGUAAGGGACCUGAGAGGGUGGUCCCUCGCAAUGGCACUGAAACACGGGCCAUACACCUACGGGUGGCAGCAGUAGGGAAUAUUGGGCAAUGGGCGAAAGCCUGACCCAGCAACGCCGCGUGUGCGAUGAAGGCCCUCGGGUCGUAAAGCACUUUUCUGAGGAAUGAGAAUGGACAGUACCUCAGGAAUAAGUCUCGGCUAACUACGUGCCAGCAGCCGCGGUAAU